RNAcentral lists this unclassified non-coding RNA (494 nucleotides) under uncultured Helotiales. RNAcentral's name for it is "sequence contains ITS1, 5.8S rRNA gene, ITS2". The stretch from base 227 to 380 matches the Rfam family "5.8S ribosomal RNA". The record is from RNAcentral. Lineage: Eukaryota; Fungi; Ascomycota; Leotiomycetes; Helotiales.
UAGAGGAAGUAAAAGUCGUAACAAGGUCUCCGUAGGUGAACCUGCGGAGGGAUCAUUACCGAGUUCAUGCCCUUACGGGUAGAUCUCCCACCCUAUGUUAUCUUACCUUUGUUGCUUUGGCGGGCCGACAGGCUUCGGUCAGUCUACCGGCUCCGGCUGGUAAGCGCCCGCCAGAGGACCCCAAACUCUGAAUUUUAGUGUCGUCUGAGUACUAUCUAAUAGUUAAAACUUUCAACAACGGAUCUCUUGGUUCUGGCAUCGAUGAAGAACGCAGCGAAAUGCGAUAAGUAAUGUGAAUUGCAGAAUUCAGUGAAUCAUCGAAUCUUUGAACGCACAUUGCGCCCCUUGGUAUUCCGAGGGGCAUGCCUGUUCGAGCGUCAUUACAACCCUCAAGCUCUGCUUGGCAUUGGGCUCCGCGGCUUACCCCGCGGGCCUUAAAAUCAGUGGCGGCGUCUUCAGGCUCUGAACGUAGUAAAUAUUCCUCGUUACGGAGU